AGCGGGGUGUAGCAAUACGCCGCCGGCGACCGGCGCACGGGUGAGUAACGCGUAUGCAACUUGCCUAUCAGAGGGGGAUAACCCGGCGAAAGUCGGACUAAUACCGCAUGAAGCAGGGAUCCCGCAUGGGAAUAUUUGCUAAAGAUUCAUCGCUGAUAGAUAGGCAUGCGUUCCAUUAGGCAGUUGGCGGGGUAACGGCCCACCAAACCGACGAUGGAUAGGGGUUCUGAGAGGAAGGUCCCCCACACUGGUACUGAGACACGGACCAGACUCCUACGGGAGGCAGCAGUGAGGAAUAUUGGUCAAUGGGCGCGAGCCUGAACCAGCCAAGUCGCGUGAGGGAUGAAGGAUCUAUGGUUCGUAAACCUCUUUUAUAAGGGAAUAAAGUGCGGGACGUGUCCUGUUUUGUAUGUACCUUAUGAAUAAGAAUCGGCUAACUCCGUGCCAGCAGCCGCGGUAAUACGGAGGAUCCGAGCGUUAUCCGGAUUUAUUGGGUUUAAAGGGUGCGUAGGCGGCCUUUUAAGUCAGCGGUGAAAGUCUGUGGCUCAACCAUAGAAUUGCCGUUGAAACUGGGGGGCUUGAGUAUGUUUGAGGCAGGCGGAAUGCGUGGUGUAGCGGUGAAAUGCAUAGAUAUCACGCAGAACCCCGAUUGCGAAGGCAGCCUGCCAAGCCAUGACUGACGCUGAUGCACGAAAGCGUGGGGAUCGAACA
This 711-nucleotide ribosomal RNA is filed under the name uncultured bacterium. Its description in RNAcentral is "bacterial SSU rRNA". It matches the Rfam family "Bacterial small subunit ribosomal RNA", at positions 68 to 774 of the family's 1533-position model. The record is from RNAcentral.